AAUCAACGCUGGCGGCGUGCCUAACACAUGCAAGUCGAACGCGAAGAUCCCGCAAGGGAUUUGUAGCGUGGCAAACGGGUGAGUAACACGUGGGUGACCUGCCUUCGAGCGGGGGAUAACGUUCCGAAAGGGACGCUAAUACCGCAUGACAUCCUGCUUUUGAACAAGUGGAGAUCAAAGCCGGGGAUCGCAAGACCUGGCACUCGAAGAGGGGCCCGCGCCUGAUUAGCUAGUUGGUGAGGUAAUGGCUCACCAAGGCAACGAUCAGUA
This 270-nucleotide ribosomal RNA is filed under the name uncultured bacterium. RNAcentral's name for it is "partial 16S ribosomal RNA". It matches the Rfam family "Bacterial small subunit ribosomal RNA", at positions 32 to 285 of the family's 1533-position model. The record is from RNAcentral.